This 405-nucleotide ribosomal RNA is filed under the name uncultured bacterium. RNAcentral's name for it is "bacterial SSU rRNA". It matches the Rfam family "Bacterial small subunit ribosomal RNA", at positions 355 to 776 of the family's 1533-position model. The record is from RNAcentral.
UGGGGAAUCUUGCGCAAUGGGCGAAAGCCUGACGCAGCAACGCCGCGUGGGGGAUGAAGGCCCUCGGGUUGUAAACCCCUUUCAGCAGGGACGAAUCUGACGGUACCUGCAGAAGAAGCCCCGGCCAACUACGUGCCAGCAGCCGCGGUAAUACGUAGGGGGCGAGCGUUGUCCGGAUUUAUUGGGCGUAAAGAGCUCGUAGGCGGCUUGGCAAGUCGGGUGUGAAACCUCCAGGCUUAACCUGGAGACGCCACUCGAUACUGCCAUGGCUAGAGUCCGGUAGGGGACCACGGAAUUCCUGGUGUAGCGGUGAAAUGCGCAGAUAUCAGGAGGAACACCGGUGGCGAAGGCGGUGGUCUGGGCCGGCACUGACGCUGAGGAGCGAAAGCGUGGGUAGCAAACAGG